UGAAGCAUACUCCACAGCUCAUGGCAACACUGGAACCUUAACCCACUGAGUGAAGCCAGGGAUUGAACUUGCAUCCUCAUGGAUGUCAGUCGGAUUCAUUUCUGCUGAGCCACGACAAGAACUCCAUACUGUGACUCCUUGACUUCUUGGGUCACAGGCCAUAUUGGAGUAGGACAUCCACAUGUCCUGACCUCAUUUACCUUGAAUUACCUGCUUAAAAGCCACAUCUCCAAAUAUAGUCACUCUGGGGGUUAAGGCUUCAGCACAUGCAUUUUGAAGGGGUUCCUGGGAGCUUUUCUGGUGCUGGCAUUGACUGGUUCCACCAGUCAGUGAGGAAGGGAUCCUACCUACCUCAGCACCCGGACCAACUUCAUUGAAGAGACAGAUCAAGUGGCGAUGGAGUCUGGCUUCCUCAUGCACAGACAAGUAUGGAGCUUAUUUUGGAACUGAUUCCCUUCCAACAUAGAUUAUCACAGAAUAUUGGGUAGAGUUCUCUGUGCUGUCUUUUCCAGCAGCAGGAAAGUUGGGCUCACCCACCUGAAAAGCUAAAGCUGACCCAGAAGUUAUGCUUAAAGAAGAAAAAGAAGGAAGAGCUGCUUUUGAUGUAACUUGAAGAGUAUAAAGGAUCGAAUGAUAAAAGCCACUGCCCUGAACUUUUCCAAAGUGUAAUAAAUCUCUCUGCAUAAGAUUCUGCAGUUGUUGCCGAGAUCCCGAAUUGGGAGCCAUGUGGAAAGAGGACUGGAUUGGAAAUCAGAGUCCUUCCUGGGUUUCUUCCAGAUGACCCCACCCAUCAGCCGUCUGGUCUCUGAGAAAUAGAACAGAGAUUCCACAUGUUUCCUGGAAUUGACCAAAAAAAAAAAAAAAAAAAAAAGGAAAGAAAAAAAAAUUCAGUUAAAUGCCCUCAAUGCCCAUCAUAAGAAGGGAUCACCCUUAAAGAAUAAUUGAUUUGCAGUUCUGGUGUGGUAGGGACAUCUUGUCUCUUCUCUACUUGGCAUGAGGUGGAAUACUGGAAGGCUGAAGAGUGGAAUCGUCUGAAGUGCACUCACUCAUACCUCUGGUGGUUGACUGUUGGCUGGGAUGAACAUGGAGCUGUGUCUGGGACACCUAUAUGUGGCCAUUUCAUGAAGCUGCCCCACAAUAUGGUGGUUGGGUUCCAAAGCCUCCCAGCACUCCAUGAGAGAAGCAACCUCAUCAAUCUCAUUCAACUAGUCUCCUCAGUGUCUGGAACUACCAAAAAAAAAAAAAAAAAGGCACUCAAUGCCUAUUCAUUGAAUGAAUGGGUUAACAGAUGGGUGGAAGACACCUUAGAAUCCAUCUAGUCCAACUUCUUCAUUUUUAGAGGGAGAUUUACCACAUGGUAAGUACAGGAUUUGAGGUGAGCUCCUCAUAUUCCUGUGAGGUGACAUCUCUGCUCCUGGGCAUGAGAUGAAGCAUUCUCUCUGGUCCCUUUCCAACUCCUUGGUUCUCUUUCUCCAGUCCUGCCUCCACAGAGCCACUGAAGGGGCUGAUCUUGUCACUCCAUGGCCUUGGAAUCUUCAGUGGCCUCCCAUCUCAUUCAGGAUAAUUAUAAAUAAAUAAACAUAUAUAUAUAUAUGCAUUUUUUUUCCUUGGGUGCCAGCAGGGUUCUUCAUGAUAUGCCCUUACCUACUUAGCCCUCAAUGUCACCACAGAUUUCCCAUUUUUCUCUCUAGCUCUAACCACUAUAUUUGGACUUGACCUGCUUUCCUGCUUGCCUCUGUUUUCCCACAAGCUGUUCCCGCCUCCUCGCUUAGUGUACUCCCAUGAUGAAUGCCUCCUCAUCCUUUGAAACCCAGUUGGAGUAUCGUCUCUACCAAGAAGCCUUUCCAGCCUCUCCCUCCCUCUCAUUUUUCUUGUCCCCCCAUUCAGUCCAAGUCUCACAUGUGACCCCAACAAACAUGCAAGCAAGGACUGGGUUUUUGCAUGAUUUCAUCCCAGUGCCUAGCCUUUCCUAGUUCUGGCAAAUAACAAGCACUCAAAAAUAUAUCCCAUAAAAAUUCCCCUCUUGGGCAUAAUCCUAACAUAUGCAAGGCACGUACAAGAAUGUUCAAAGCAGCAUUUCCUGGAUUAGUCCCAAACUGUAAAUAACCCAAGAGUCUCUUAAUCAUGCAAUGGGUAAGUAAAUCGUGGCAUUUUAAAUAAAUAAAUCCUAUUCAACAAUGAGAUUCAGUGAACAAACCUUGUGAAUGGAUUUCACAAAUGUCAUGUUGAGUGAAAGAAGCCAGAAGCAAGAGUAGAUGUAUAAUUCCAUUUACAAAAGCUCAAAAAGCAGGCAUGAGUUAUCUCUGGUGUUAGAAAUCAUGAGAAGAGUUACCAUCAAAUAUGCAGGGUAACUGAUAGAGUAGGUGUCUAGGACCCCAGCAGUGUUCUAUUUCUUGAUCUGGGUGCUGCCUGGGGAAUUAUUUCAUCCAGCUGUAUAUUUGUGAUUUGUGCAUGAAUCUGUCUCAUACUUUAAUAAAAAAAUUUAAUUUAGGAGAUUUUCCUUUAUGAAAUAUGUUUCUCUGUGGUGUUGAGGACAGUGACAGAAAUGGGGAGUGUAGGUUUGACUCAAAUGAAUUGCCAGCUUGAUUGAUGCUCUUUCUCCUGCUCAGAACAGUGUUUCAUGUCAGCAAGGAAAAUCUAAAAAAUUAAAAAUAAAAAACCAAAAACCUUUCCCAUACCAUGUUUAGCAUUUGCUUUAAGAAAUGUGAUACUCAGUGGUGUCGGCAGGUGUUAAUUCAGAUAGUUUGGAUUCUCAACUUGAAUUUUGGCAGGCUCAGAUAAUUUUGGAAUGAGUCAGGGUAUAAAUGACUAUAAUUGGAAUUUCACUCUUUGCUUACUAUCUUCAUCCUUUUGCUUUUAAGGCUUCUGUCACCAAUAGGCAUAAGCUUAUUGCCCUACACACAUCGCUCAAACCUUCCGUUUAUUGAUUCACAAUUCACUGUUGCAGUUUAAAAUCAGUUUCUUUCUUGGUAUAGGACUGUGCUUAAUUAAUGUCUUUGAGCUGACAGGAUUUUUUUUUUUUCCUCCUUCAAAAUUGUAAGGGCUCUAAGAAGUACCAGACUAUGGAACAUCUGUAAAAAUACAUUUUCUUCUCUUUAAACAGAUCUGUGUGAGGAAGGUGCCUGGGAACCCUGGUCUCUGAAAUCCUUGCAGCCAUUUUGGCUGCUGCCCUCUGCAGCCUCCAUGCUGGAGCCCAUCCAGCCAUCGCUGCGGGAACUCACCGCAUUUCUCUCUCAUGUUCUGUAAUCUGGGCCUUUCAGUGUCUGCACAGAUGGGAAUUCUGCUGCCAUCUUCUCAUUUCACAUUUCCUGCACUUUUCUUCCUAAGCACUCUACUGCCCAAAAUAGACUCACAGCUUUUGAUUCCAUGUGUAGGGAUUUACUAGACGAAUGAAUGGGGAUUCUGUAGCUCCCUAUAAUCAUCAUACCGUGAGGUAAUUUUUCCUGUUAGGCAUCGGGAAGAGAAAGGAUUCAGAAUGGUGCUAGGAGUGUCUCUCAGAGGACAGCAUGGAUUUUCUUUCAGGGGAAUAGUUGGGCCAGAGCCCAAUGCAAGGCAGGGCAUUAGUGCUAGCCUGUGGGGAAGGAGGACACAAGAGGACAGGGGACCAUGCAAGACUUGUCACCAAUUAGCUCCCUUCACAAGUCCUCUGCUCUCCUGAAGUCUCUUCCUGAUAGGAUAUACCCCUCCUCCUCUCUGCCUUUUUUUGUAUGUGUUGGGGGGAGGAGUCCCAAAAGUAUUAAUUUCCCUUGCUUCUCUCUACCUAGUUGAAUUGUCUCCAUUCAUUAAGGGCUUGUUUAAAUCCCACCUCCUGGGAGUUCCCAUUAUGGCUCAGCAGUAACAAACCCAACUAGUAACCAUGAGGAUGCGGGUUCCAUCCCUGUCCCCACUCAUUGAUUUACAGAUCCAGUGUUGCCUUGAACUGUGUUGUAGGUUGUAGUCAUGGCUCAGAUCCCAUGUUGCUGUUGCUGUUGCAUAGGCCAGCAGAUGCAGCUCUGAUUUGACCCCUAGCCUGGGAAAUUCCAUAUGCCACAGGAGUGCCCCUAAAAAGCAAAAUAAAUAAGUAAAUAAAUCAAUCCCACCUCCUCCAGGAAGCCUUCCCAGAUGACUUCAGCUAGACGUGAUUUCCUCCUUGUCUAAAUUUUUAGAGCUCCUAUGGCUAUACAUUCUUGGAUGUCCACAUAAGAGAUAAUUUUCAGCAAUAAUAAUAACUGAGUACUUCCAUGGCAGGCACUAUUCUUAGCACUUUACUCAUAUAAAGUCAGAAUCAAGAUAAUGACUCCAUAAGAUAGGCUGCAGUACUGUUCCCAUUGUACACAUGAGGAUUCUAAGGCCCAUAGUGAUGUCACAACUCCCUUAUCAGAUUAGAAACUCCAUUUACCACCUCUUUGACUUACUGACUUGUCUUUCUCACAUCACAACUUUCACGGACUCACAGUUGCCAAUUAUUCAUACUUGUCCAUUUAGUUUUGUGCUUAAAGAGCCCGAGACCAUGAAAAUAGGAUUUCAAUAUCAUUUCUGUCAGUCAUAUAUGCUGCCUUUCCAUUUCUGUUAACAUGGGGGCUGUGCAGUGGAGUAGGUGGGAUUAAAACCGUGAUAAAAUAAAAUUAAAGAACAAGACCUUAUUUCAUAUGUACUGUAUGCCAGGCACUCUGGUAAGUGAUAUAUAUGUUCACUACCUUAAUCUCAGCUUCCCCCUGCCCCAAAUAUCAGAGAGAGGUUACAGAAUGCUUGCAACAUGAUCAAAUAAAUAGAUGAAGGUGUUUUAGCAAAAAGAAUACAAAUGUAGGAAGUCACACAAAAUCCUGGGUUCAGCUAUUACCUACAAAUGCAUGCCCUGAGGACCCUCCUCGGGAAGUGAGCCACAGAUCUGGCUCUGGCUUCCUGGUGUUUAUGACAAAAAAGGGACAAUGACAACAUUCACAUUGCCUUUAAGAUAAAGACAAUCCAGCUAUUCAGAUGAAGCGCACAUAAAAGUCGCAUCAAAUAACUUCCUGCUAUAAUUCUCAGUGCAGGCCAGUCUUAUUUUGCUGAAGGGCAGAAUGGCAAAAUCCAUUUGAAAGAGAGAUAGAACUAGGGGGUCUACCUUUGCAGUUAUUUAGUUUAAGACAGGGAUAGACUGUACACAUAUCAGGAAAUUCUCUCUCCCUUGGGCUCCAUACUAGCUCCUCCAGACAAUUACAAAGCUCCUCCAGGUUUCCACCUUCAACUGAAAGCUGAAUAGAGGUUUUGGUUUAACACUUAUUAACACUUUAUAAAACUAGCAUGCCCAGGAACAGCUUUUGGAAAAUCCAGUCUGACAGGCAACAUGGAGCUGUUAAAAAUUGAGGUUUUCAGUGGGGGAAAUGGAAUUCAAACUCCUUUGUCUGAUUUAUGAUGCUUUUCACAAGCCAACCUCAACCAGCUGUUGCAGACCUAAUUUACUGUCAACCCCCCCCACCUUCAGCAUCUUCAUGUUUUGUCCAAACUAAACUAGAUAGAUUUCCAUGAGUAUACACUGUGCUCUCACUCAUUGAGGCCUCACAGAUGCUUCCUAGAACACCCUCUUCUCUCUCCCGUCUCCCUUGGCUUCUCUGCCUACUGGAUCUUGAAGGAUGUCAUCUUUGCUGUGACUACACUCCUUAUUCCACCUAAUAAUUAAUCUUACUCUUUACCAGGCUCUCACAGCACUUUACUUCUAUCACAUUUUAUUAUACCCUUUUGCUAGCUUCUUUGAUUUUUCUGUCAAACUAUUAACUUCUCCAGGGUUGGAAUGUGCCUUAUUUACUUUUGUAUCUCAGCAUUGGGGACAUAGUCUGACCUGGAUUUAUUUCACCAAAUAUUUAUUGAGUGUUUCCUGUACUGACAGAACAAAGCUGGGACAAUUCCCAUCUUGUGGGCAAUGCCAAGUAAAAAAAAAAAAAAAA
This is a non-coding RNA of Sus scrofa (pig), 5903 nucleotides long. Lineage: Eukaryota; Metazoa; Chordata; Mammalia; Artiodactyla; Suidae. The record is from RefSeq and is a predicted model, not a curated record.